Canis lupus familiaris (dog) is the source of this 3196-nucleotide long non-coding RNA. RefSeq lists it as uncharacterized. Lineage: Eukaryota; Metazoa; Chordata; Mammalia; Carnivora; Canidae. The record is from RefSeq and is a predicted model, not a curated record. The transcript has 10 exons.
CGUGGCCACAGGAAGUGACCUCAUAAGCAUGCCCUUCAAGCCACACAGGAUGGGUCCUUGUGCGACAUUCAGCCGUCUCUCUGGUUUACACCAAAUUCAACAACUUGUGGCCUGCAGAUACUCAGUAUAAAUAGCUGGAAAAGCCUGACCUUGACAACCUCAUUUCUCAUUCCUUUCUUGUUACAGGUCACAUGGAAUGCCAUGGUUCUAGAAUGACAUGGUCUUGUCUACCUCAGAAAUAAUGAAGGUUCUGCAGAGACCUACUGGUGGUAACGGCAUCUUUACUGACUUGGGCUUCAGGAAAGCAGGCUCCUGUUUGGACAUCCAGCCCUUGUCUGAUCUGUUACUGCACAUGCCGAGACUCCACAGACUGUCGAUGUGAGCCCUGGGAGCCCGAGAAACCACUUGCAGAUGAAUGAACUGAAAAGAACCUUACCUGCUUAAAGAAAUGGGAUGUGGCUCGCUUAAAGUUAUUCCAUUUGACAUCUCCAGGCAUAGACCUUCUGGAGUGCUGAAGCUUUGUCUUUAGGGCUUACUCCUGGACUGCAUCCUCCAGCUUUCUCUCUCAACUUCUUCACUCUUCAGUCUCUCAGCCCAGCUCCCUAUGUGGGCCGUUCUUGUUCUUGGAUGCUUGGAUCGCUCUUUAUCUCCUCGCCAUCUGUGUAAGGGGAUCCUGCCAAGAUGAUCAGAUGUGAACUCAGCGCCAGAAACAUUUUAAUUAAUUUAUGGUGAUAAAAUGCGAAAAGAAAACCAAUGAGGAAAGUCUGGGCCAAAGAAAAUUAAACAUAAGAGGAAACAAAGAAACUGGAGCCAUGCGGCCUUGGAAGGAAGGGCCUGGUUGGCAGAGGAGCCAGCAAACACUCUCUCUUGCCCUCUUCACUUUUUUAAUAACGCCCAAGUGGAAAAGCCACAGAGGACCCAGAAACUGGAGGGAGGGGAGGGAGAAAACUGAGUAGUUUGCUAUUUGUCUUGACUUCUGGAUUAGGUCAGCUGAAUGUGGGUGUGGAGAAGACAGACAGCAAGGCUGUAGGAUUGCAGACCCCUGUUAUAAUAGGGGUAGCCGGUGUUUCUCAGAGUCACAGACUAUUGGAAGAACUGGAAUAGGAACACCUUGGACUUCUUCAGACCAGUAUUCUCAGAAUGUGUUCCAUGGACCAUCUGCAUUAGCCUCAUCAAUGCUGGGGGAUUUUUAGCUCAGACAAGCCCCAGAAGAGAUGGAAAGAGCCUGCUAAGUGGAGUUGUAAAUCUUGAACACUUGCAUUUUCAUACAAAAGCAAGCAGAAAGGAGUAAGAACUUGGAAGGUCAUCUCACAGAGGAAAAAAAAUUUAAGGGAGGAGCUGAAGCUUACUACUCAAGAGGGAGGAACUCAGUUUACAUUCUCCAUAAAUAGAACAUGUUUGUCACCUGGAACAAAGAGCAGCAGUUUCUACAGGGUAAGAGGCAAGUGCUUAGACCAGACACCUCCUCCUGGCCCUUCCUCAAACUCUCACUCCAUGGAAAAAACCUGUUCCUUCCUUACCCUCUUAUGGAAGCUACUAUCCUUACCCUUUGGGUGAAUGUCCCGAAAUGGAUAACAUUCCUGCAGCUCAGAAGUGUCCACAGCACAGCAGCCCAAGAAGGGAUAGAUUGGUGCAAGAGAUACUACUUUUAAAGAUCGUGCGGGAGGAAGAACGCACAUUUGUAAAGACUGACUUCGAGGCCAUUCUUGCCCCUCUCGCUGGUCUGGAGUUCACGCCGGUGUUAACGGCCUUAUCAAACAAUUCCUAUCAUGAGCUCCUCUAUUCUUCCAUUUUUAUCACCCCACCCAAAAGGGGAGGGUGCCUAGAGGGGCAGAAUUAAAUCCGAAGGGUGAUAAACCAGCAGAUUCAAAGUUUAGGCUGGGCCGAGGGGUUUUAGUUCCAGCUGUGCCUCAGUAGGACAGACUUCACCAGGGUCUAUCCUAUUAAGAGCCCCCAGCAUCGUAAUCCUGGGGCUGCCACUAUUGUCCUUAUUGGGUUCCUGAAUAUCCUUUCACACAAUGAGAGCUUGAAAACCUCAUUGAUUUUCAGAAGGGAGGAAGAUUUUUAGAAUGAUUUUCAGGAUGGAAAUCAAUGGGUUACAGCGCACUUGUAUGUGCUUUAGGUGUUCUUUCUCUACCAUUUAUUUCUACCUGACGCUUUCAAGACUUGAGCGUGACUUUGGAGAGAAAGAAAGAGUCAUAUGAUUAUAUGUAGCUGUAAUUGAACGGCAUUUAUUUUGUCAGAGUUCACAUUGCAUCAUGUACGUUUGGUUUGCUAUCUUUAGGGAAGGUUUCAUUUGCCAUCUCCUAUCUGAAUUUUAUUUGGAAUUCCCAUUGGGACAUACAUGGAAAUUAUCAGUUUCUCUUUGCCUAGUGUUGAAAAGGGUAUCAGCUUAAAGUACCUGUGUAGACUCACAGAUGGAAUGUAACAAGUUUAUGAAAACUGGCCAAGGACCAGAACUGACUUUGUAUCUCUGUAGAAAAGAGCAUAAUACAGUGAUCAUCACAGGCUGUCAGAACUUUCCUUGGCAGCCUGGAUAGCAUGGGUUGGCUUGCUGUGGAAGACAGAAACAAAUACUAAAUAUGUUAUUACAGAUCAUAGCCAUGAAAUACAUAUGGGCAAGACUAGAGAAUGAGAAUCUAAAAGGCAAAACAAAACAACAAAAGUCAGAACUUGCAUCAUCAAGUGAGUUUUGUUUUAAAGUAUCACCUUAAGAGACUAUGCGUUUAUACUAAUGAUGCUACUAUUAAAGAGAACAUUCUUAGAAAUGCUUAUUUGAAAUUACUAUAAUAACCUGAAGGUAAUUGAGCAUGCAAGAAACCUGUGACUGCUUUAGGCUGGCACUUUGUUUUUGCUCACCCUAAUUCGGUUCUACACCUUGACCAUUCAUUUACCUGAUUCAUAAGACUUGAUAGCGAAUGAAUUCUUUAGAUAUCUAACUCUAAAAAGAAACAUUUUUUUUCCCACAAUGUGAUGAUUCAUGAAAAAGAGACUAUAUCUUUUGAAGGUAAAUCCAGAAGAGAAUACGGGAAAAUGUUUUGAGCAAGUAAAGUACCAUAUUCUUUAUGCUCUUAAAGAGCAAGUUCUUUGUUGCUCAUACUUUUUUAAUGAAAGAAAAAGCACAUAGUGAAUCAAAGGGGAGAAUUGAAGUAAGAACUUUCAGCAGCUGCUGACUUUCUCCUUAGGGCCUUGUAGU